RNAcentral lists this unclassified non-coding RNA (391 nucleotides) under soil metagenome. RNAcentral describes it as "partial contains 5.8S ribosomal RNA, internal transcribed spacer 2, and large subunit ribosomal RNA". The stretch from base 1 to 122 matches the Rfam family "5.8S ribosomal RNA", at positions 35 to 154 of the family's 154-position model. The record is from RNAcentral.
GAUGAAGAACGCAGCGAAAUGCGAUACUUGGUGUGAAUUGCAGAAUCCCGUGAACCAUCGAGUUUUUGAACGCAAGUUGCGCCCGAAGCCAUUAGGCCGAGGGCACGCCUGCCUGGGCGUCACACGUCGUUGCCCCCCCAUCUACUCCUUCGGGAUUGCGGGGGGCGGAUGAUGGCCUCCCGUGCGCCUCGUCGCGCGGUUGGCAUAAAUGCCAAGUCCUCGGCGACGCACGCCACGACAAUCGGUGGUUGCGAAACCUCGGUUGCGCGGCGUGUGCGGUCGUCGCGCAUCGAGGGCUCGAAAAAAUUGCCGGGCUCCGGCUCGGCUUUCAACGCGACCCCAGGUCAGGCGGGGUUACCCGCUGAAUUUAAGCAUAUCAAUAAGCGGAGGA